GAAAAGAGCAUUCUUCAAUCAUACAUGCUAAUUAACAGAGUAGAAGAAACGUUUUUAAUGGUUGUAGUAAACAAAAAAUGGAAAAUUAACAGCUACAAACAUUGAUAGCUGCAAUUACACUUGAUUGUUUUAGCUUGCUUGCUUACUUGUGGAGUUCAUAUUAAUACAUUUAUACAAAUUAAAGAAUAAAGGAUCACAUAAUUUUGUUAUUCCCUCAAUUUGAUCAUCUGUUGAAAUGCAUGACUUUGGGUGCAAAUCUCAACAGCCUAUCCAAAGCGGUAGGCAUGAAUUUCCUUGCAAACAAGAAACAAGUGGUGCUGCUAUUUCCAUUAUACUCACAUUUUCUGCCACUCCUUAGCCUCUCCAAGAACUCCACCGUCACCUCCGUUCUUAUAAACCGAGUCGGGUGCGGCCCUCCUCUCGACCAGUCUACCCAAGUCAGAGUCCUAUUCGAGUUCCUCUUCCCAUGUUUCAUGCUCACAAAUGUUGGCAAAUAAUGUUCGUCUGCAUAACAAGGACCCUUGCAGUACUUCUGGAAAAUGGGAAAGUAUUUUUGAUCUGAUAUAACUUCAAGGGCUAGUUGUCGAUCCAUUUCAAACCACUGGGAGCCUUUCCUCCAUUGCUCAAUGGUGAUUUCAGGGCUCAUGUGGUGGCUAUAUCGGCCGCGGCCAACAGGACCCUCUAAGUCAUAGGCCUCCACAAAAUUUUUGGUAGAGUUCAUUAGGUAGGAGUAGACAGUGGAGAAGUUGAAGAGAGGAAUGCAUGAUUCUGAGAGGAGAACAAAACGCUGGUUUGAGAUGUCAAGAAGUGCAUUAGCUAAUAAACGUAUCUCUGCUUCGAUCAUGUUCACUUUUCCCCAUUGAACAUCCUUGCUGGGAAUUCUUCGGCCAUGAAACACAGGACUUUCAGGAUAUGAUUCAUUAUAGGACGGACUUGAAUGCACAUAAAUUGAAUACAAUCCUUGAUGCCCCUUGAAGAAUUUCUCCCACAGUGGAGCCAUUAAAACUGGACCUUUAGUCAGGAACAAGAAGGCAAUCUUGGGAACUCUAUCAAAUGGAUAUUGGUUUAUCCUGGGAACCAUUGAAGCCCUCCACAACAAUUCCUCAUCUUCCAUAUCAUGCUUAGCAUCAGUAGGAACUUUCAGAUACUCUUUCAAGCCUACACGAGGCAGUACACUUGUCUCAUUCUUUAUUGAUGGUGCUUGUGGUAUUGCUGUAGUAGCAGAAACAGAGAACUGGGUAACAUGGAAAUUGAAUGAUAUGUUCUUGAGAUAGGAACUAAGGAUCACCCCUGUGGCUAGACCACAGCAGAACAAGAAGAAAUAAGAAAGAACAUUCACGAGUUGAAAUUGGGUGUUGAAUGGUUUCGUAAAAGAAGUCAUCAAAUUCUGUUUUUGACUCUUCAUUGCAGGAAAAUUUUUAAAAACAAUAAAAGA
This 1435-nucleotide unclassified non-coding RNA is filed under the name Hevea brasiliensis (rubber tree). Lineage: Eukaryota; Viridiplantae; Streptophyta; Magnoliopsida; Malpighiales; Euphorbiaceae. The record is from RNAcentral.